GUUUUCGAGUUAUCGCUUUUGCGCAUGCGUACAUUCAUUGUCAAGCAGCAGAGAGUGCACGCCAAAAACACGUGAAGCCCUAAUUAAAAGCCUAGUUAUAACUGUUUUUUACAAUUGAAAUAAACACAAUCAAUCAAGAUGCCUGCUGCAGUUAAAGACUCGCCAAACAAGGUCUUUGUGAGCAACAUUCCUAAGACAUGGGACGAUGCGAAAUUAGAAUCAUUAUUUGUCAAGUUCGGCAAAAUAUCCCAAGUAAACUUGAUGAAACACAGAGAGACCGGAGAAUCUAGAGGAUUUGGCUUCAUCACAUAUGAAAGCGAGGAGGAUGCAAAUGAUGCUAUACAGGGAAUGAAUGGAAAGGAUAUUGAAGGAGUGGAGCUGAAAGUAGAUGCUGCCCUCAAGUCUCUACACUCAGGAGGAGGAGCCGGUGGUGAAAGGGGAGGCAGAGGGGGCUUCAGAGGAAGAGGAGGCCCAAGAGGAAGGGGAGGACCUCUUCUGCGUGGGGGUCCAAUGGGGGGCGGGUUCUCCCCAAGAGGCGGACCAAGGGGUGGCUUCAUGCCAAGGGGGCGUGGCGGCCCAUUCAGAGGAGGUAUGGGAGGUGAAGAAGGAGGAAGUCGAGGGCGUGGUCGAUUUGAUGGACCACCACGAGGCGGACCACCUAGGGGCGGACCAAGGGGUGGUAUGAGAGGGUCACCAAGGGGUGCGCCUAGAGGAGCACCCAGGGGGGCACCAAGGGGACGAGGUGGGCCAGGAAGACCACUGAUCGACAGACCUCCCAUGGAAGAAAUGGACCAAGACGCAGGGUUCAACGGGCCCAGGGGAACCAGACCUCUACUUGGUAAAGAGCCCCUUUUACAAGAUCCUGGAGCACCAGAUUACCAUCAAGCUCGGGAACCCAUGGGACAUCCCGCCGAGAGAGCCCCAGAAGGAUAUCGCGUUGGUGGAUACGCCGAAGGGGGACUGCUACCAACACACGAAGCCCAAUGGGACAACACUGUCAGCGGAGAGCAGGGUGGAGGUUAUUCCGGAGGUUUGCUACCAACGCAUCAAGCACAAUGGGACGAUGCAACCGAGCAGGGUGGCGGAUACCCCGAACGAGGUUUACUUCCAACUCGCCAAGCACAGUGGGACGAGGCACCUGUGAGAAGAGAACAGGAACCCCUCAUGCGUGAGAGAGAGGCUAGGGCGCCACCUCAAAUGGAGCGUCAUGCAGCAGAGCGCCCUCGCUCUUCCUUCCCUCCAGAGCGUGAAGCAGGCUAUGGCGGCCGUGGUGGCGCUGGUGCUGCUCCUGCUUCCCAGUAUGGAGAAGAGAGCUAUGGUGGAGCCCGAGGUGGAGGCGCUGGACGUGGUGCCGUCCAGGAGGAGUACGGCCAGCAGAGCCGUGGAGGAGGAGGAGCCUAUGACUACGCCGAGUCCAGGCCUGCCAGGGCAGAGUAUGGGGCUGCUUCAGCUGCUGCCGCUGAUCCGUACCGCUCCAGGGCUCCCUAUGGAGCCAACAGUGAACCAACUCCAGCUCGCCAAACCAGAGAAAGUUACGGCGAGCGUGACUACGCGCCUCAAGCUCGAAGCGCCGACCCCUACGGUGCUGCUCCAUCGGCUGCAGCAUCUCGAGGAUACGGAGCCAGGGAGCCUGCCCUCCCCCGUGAUGCACCCAUGUCCCGUGAAGCACCAAGGGGACGCGACCCAAUGGCCGCCCGGGACUACGCCCCUCCUGUCCGUGGCCAGAGGGACUAUGCUGAACCGGCUAGGCGGGAAGAGACUGUAGGGGAUUACGCCAGGGGAGGCUUUGCAGAGGAAAGACAAGCAUCUUCCUUUUCCUCAAGAACCUAUGAUGAAUAUGAGAAAGCCAGUAGCCGGGGAUAUGGUGCUGCCUCAGACAGCUAUGGCUCUGCCAGGGACCCUGCUGGAUGACUUGCAGCUGUGGUGUCAUUUGAAAGUGGUACAACAUUCACUGCUGCCCUGGUGUAGCAGGUUGUCACGUGACCAGUCACCUGACUACCAUUGCAAGUCACAUGACUGGAUAGCAGCUGAUCUCUAACAGAGAAAGACGACAGAAGAAGUUUGCUGCUGGUUUUGCCAAGGUUCCUGUGGCUCCUGGAGGAAUUGGCACCUACGAUGAACAAACCUCGGAAGACUAGGAUGAUGCCACUGCUCAAACUGCUGCAGCACCCAGCGAGAACUAUUUUGUUUCUGACCUUCGGAAGUCUGGGCUGUUGCUAAUGCCAAUGCAGUACCCGCUGCUGCUCCUCGAACUGGUGCCACUUCUUAUGACCGGACCAUUAUGUAAAACUGGAAAGUUGAUGUAUUGCAUUUAAAAUUGACAUAUCAAUUUAUUGAUUUGUUGAUGGAAGAAAGGAAGUGUAAAAAAAUGUUUCUUUAAUAAUAAAGCAAGU
This 2393-nucleotide unclassified non-coding RNA is filed under the name Lytechinus variegatus (green sea urchin). RNAcentral's name for it is "collagen alpha-1(I) chain-like, transcript variant X4". Lineage: Eukaryota; Metazoa; Echinodermata; Echinoidea; Temnopleuroida; Toxopneustidae. The record is from RNAcentral.